UUGACGAGGACUCGCAGCGCGGAUCUGUGACGAGGAACCGGGUUCCGA
RNAcentral lists this small nucleolar RNA (48 nucleotides) under Pyrobaculum arsenaticum DSM 13514. RNAcentral describes it as "PARsR118". Lineage: Archaea; Thermoproteati; Thermoproteota; Thermoprotei; Thermoproteales; Thermoproteaceae. The record is from RNAcentral.